This 274-nucleotide ribosomal RNA is filed under the name uncultured bacterium. RNAcentral describes it as "partial 16S ribosomal RNA". It matches the Rfam family "Bacterial small subunit ribosomal RNA", at positions 523 to 796 of the family's 1533-position model. The record is from RNAcentral.
ACACGUAAGGGGCAAGCGUUGUUCGGAAUUAUUGGGCGUAAAGGGCGCGUAGGCGGUUUUACAAGUCUGGUGUGAAAGAUCUCAGCUUAACUGAGGGACCGCGCUGGAAACUGUAAGACUAGAAUCUAGGAGGGGAAGCUGGAAUUCCUGGUGUAGGGGUGAAAUCUGUAGAUAUCAGGAAGAACACCGGUGGCGAAGGCGAGCUUCUGGCCAUAGAUUGACGCUGAGGCGCGAAAGCGUGGGGAGCGAACAGGAUUAGAUACCCCAGUAGUCC